Molecule: long non-coding RNA, 5399 nt
Filed under: Vigna radiata
Lineage: Eukaryota; Viridiplantae; Streptophyta; Magnoliopsida; Fabales; Fabaceae
Description: long non-coding RNA (VRAD_LNC001399)
Source: RNAcentral
AACGUGUUUCUAACAUUGCAUACAACGUUGUAAAUGGCAUUUGCACUCCUGUAAAAGAUCAAUCAGCUCCUGUAUAUAUCACCGUUGGUGAUGGAGGAAACCUUGAAGGCUUAGCAACCAAGUAAGCUCAUCGAACGUGACAUGAUGAUUCUUGUCACUUUUCUCCUUACUUUUAUGUCAUUAAGCUUGAACAUGUAUUUACUAAGUCUGAUAUGAACUGCAGCAUGACAGAACCACAACCUGAGUAUUCUGCAUAUAGAGAAGCCAGCUUUGGACAUGCCAUGUUUUCCAUAAAGAACCGAACGCAUGCUCAUUACAGCUGGAACCGAAAUCAUGAUGGAAUUGCCGUGGAGGCUGAUUCCGUUUGGUUUUUCAAUCGAUACUGGCACCCAGUUGAUGAUUCCACUGUUCAUGAGUGAUAUUAACGCACACUUUCACUACAACAAUGCAUAAUUUGACGUCAAUAAAUUCAUCAGUCGGCAACUAUUUGCUGCCAAUACCACCAACAAUGAUCUUCAAUGUCUCUGAAAUAGUUACAGUUGACAAUUGCAAAUUGCGUGCUUCUAUUCUGAAAUUGCAUUGCAUAAAGUCCAAGCGAAUUUUGAAAGAUAUUUUUUCAAUUUAAAAGUUAAAAUUAUGUUACAAAUUGUAUAAUUUAUAAUUUAUUUUUUUUUAAGUUAAUUUCUUUAUUUUGAAUUAAGCAAUUAAAAAAUUAAUGGAUAAUAAAAAAGUUAAAAUUAGCUUUCAGUCCAAAAGUUAAAAUGAUGUUUCAGAUUAGAUUGCAUAAGAACACAUAUUUUUGAAAUAUAAAUUAGAUUUUAAAUUGCAUAAUUUAGAAUGAACUCCAACCUAAAAAUUCCCAUUGCUCAACAUAAAUUAGAUUUUAAAUUUAAUGAUCUUCAUUUCAGCUCAAAUAAUGUGAAAAUCUACCACUCAAUACCUCCACUUGCUGACCAAUCUAAGCAAAAAGCAAUAACGGUGUGCCUAUUUCAUUACCAUAUAAUAGAAGAAGGGUACUAUUGGCAGUUUGAGUUUUAUGGGCUUGCAUAUGGACAUUAUAGGGGUGGAAAAAGAAAUAUUCAAGAACUGUUUAACUUGUUGGACUUUUCUCCCUACACCCUCAUAAUUUCUUUCUCUAGCUUGAUAAUUUCAUCUUGUACUUUCUUAUAUUUAAAAAAAUUCAAUGUUACCCUCUUUUUGUAUUGAGACCUGAUGUAAGUGUUUCAUUAAAAAAGUUUUGUUUUGAAAAUUUCACAAAAAACAAAAGAAAAAUUAAAAAAAAAUAGUGAAAAUAUUUUAUACAAUUUAAAUUAAUGAUUUGUGAAUAAUAAAUACAAUAAUUAAGUAUUUAUUAAGGGAGUAAUUAUUUUUGAAAAAAUUAUUCAAAAAAUUAAUAAUUCAUGAAAAAAAAUUAUAAAAAAUAUUAUUUCCUAUUUUUAUUCAUAUUAUUAUUGGAUGGAGGGAAAAUGAUAAAAGAGUGAAUGAAAAUAAAUAAUAAAAUUAGAUUGAUGCGAAAAACAACAAAUGCUGUAUAAAUAAUUAAUAAUAAGCUCUUUUAUCUUUUUUGUUUGAAUUCCUUGAUUAUUUUUUUAGCCUUUUUCAUUCCUUUUAAGUAUACAUUUUUAUAUGAUUGGACGUAUAGAUAAUUCCAUGCUGUAAUAAAAGUAAUUAACUCUACAACUACGACGAUAUAUAUUAAUAUAUAUCCUACUACAAUAUUAAAAUUUGGCUUGCAGAAUAUUGAGGUAAAGAUCUGAAAUUCAGAAACCAUUUUGAAUAUUUUUUUUUAAGAAAAAAGUUUUUUUAACAGAAUUUUUUUUUAUAAUUUUUUAAUUACGUAUACAUGACAAUUUAUGAUUAUUCGUUUCAAAUUUUUUUUAAAAUAAAUUCAAAUAAACGAUUGAAAUAGUGACACGUCUUCUAUUAUAAAAAAAUUAUUAAAAAGUAUGAUUAAAAUAUCAUUCUCUUUUUUAACCGACAACAACUAAAUAAUCUAAUAAAAAGAGAAGAAGAAGCACGUGACAAAGGAUAUUCAUGAAGGAAGGAAAUCUAUAUAAUAUAUUUAAAGGUUAGUCAACAAGUAAUUAUAAAAUAUGUAAGUCAUUUUCAUUCAUUCACGUUGUUUAAUUUAUUGUUUUCAAUUUAAUUUCAAAUUUAUUAUUUAUAUAGUAAAUUAAAAAUAAAUUAAACUAAACAAUAAAUUAUUGGGGGAUAAUCUUGGAAGUCGCAUGAACAUUAUUUUAAGGACAACAUUUUGCCACAUAGUAAGCAUAAAAUAUUACUAAUUUAAGGAUGAAUGUGUAAUUGCAUGCACCGUAUUACUGCUCAUGAAUGCGCAACAAGACAAGCUUCCUCACAAAGAGUAAUUCACUUGAAACAAAUAACAGAGAAAUCUGGUGAACAAUUUUCUUUUUCAUGGAAGAUGGAAGAGAAAGAGAAAAAGAAAAAGGAUGAAUAAGUUUGAGUGUUAGAGAUAGAGAGAGAACUGAAAGAAAUACACAUGCAAGAAAACUACGGACAGGUUUCAUUGAUCAGCAAGAAAACAUCAUGGGCCCAUUGUCACGUUGACCCUUAAUCGGAAUAUUCCUUGUUAUAUGCCAUUCACAACUACCCUUCUUGUUAAUAUUAUUGUUUCGUUGAUUGCAAAGGAUUGAAAUAAUAAAUAGGACUUGAAUCAGUAGGAUCUCGGGGUUCGAGCAAAAUGGGUGUUGUGGAGGGUCUCUUAGCUUUAACUUUGUUUCUGAAUGUGGUUGUUGUGUGUAAUGGAGGCUCGAGCAGCUUCUUCGUUAGGAAAACCGAGAAAUCUGUGGAUAUGCCACUUGACAGUGAUGUAUUUUCUGUUCCUCCUGGUUAUAAUGCUCCUCAGCAGGUACAUACUUAUCUGGGUUUCCCUUCUUUUCUAAUUCUGUUAAAUAUUAUGUUCAUGUAAGAUAGGAGAGGACUUACUCUAGAGUUGAGGAAAACGGUGAAUGAUUCUCUGCUUAGUUUCGGGAUGAAAGUUCAAUUCUUUUUCGGGAUGAAAGUUCAAUUCUUUUUUCUUUAGGAGUUUUCUUUGAAUUGAAUUGAAUCAAUGACAAUGGCUGCUAUGCAUAAGGUUCAUAUAACGCAAGGUGACCUUGUGGGGAGGGGAAUGAUAGUGUCAUGGGUGACGAUAGAUGAACCGGGGUCGAGUGCAGUGCGUUACUGGAGUGAGAACAGUGGGGAGAAGAAGAUUGCAGAAGGACAAAUUGUUACUUAUAAGUUCUUCAAUUACUCAUCUGGGUUUAUUCACCACACCACCAUCAGAGAUUUAGAGGUACUUCUCUUUUCCAUUAUUUANAUNUUAUGUUNUNUGUUGUCCAGAUGCAGAACAAGGANGAGAAGCUUGUGAGAUAAAAGAAAAGUGCUAUCUGUUAGUGUCUUAAUAGGCCAAUAUGUUUGUUGUAAACUGGUGUGACAUUAUUUGUAGGGGAUCUUGGUCAGAGUUUUGAUUCAAAUGUGACUCUUUCUCACUAUGAAUUGAGUCCAAGAAAAGGAGAAACUGUACUGUUUGUUGGAGACCUCUCUUAUGCUGAUAACUACCCGAAUCAUGAUAAUGUGAGGUGGGAUACUUGGGGAAGGUUUACAGAAAGAAGUGUUGCAUAUCAACCAUGGAUUUGGACUGCAGGGAACCAUGAAAUUGAUUUUGCUCCAGAAAUUGUAAGCUUUCUCAAACCAAUUCACUUUAUCUGGUUUCAACUAUCUGAAAAACUUCUUUUUGUUUUUCUCAACGAAAAAUUUUAGCUUUGGUGUAAUGCAUUUACCAAGUCCAAAUGUUGGUAAGAAUAGAGUUUUUAACAUAGAUGAACACUUUCUUGCAGGGUGAAACCGUACCUUUCAAGCCUUUCACCCANCGUUACCAUGUUCCAUACAAAGCAUCUCAGAGCACUUCACCCUUCUGGUAUUCUAUCAAGAGAGCUUCGGCACACAUCAUUGUCUUGUCCUCAUAUUCAGCAUAUGGUAAUUCCCUCCAACGACUUUUGCAUCUUACAUACUUUUUUAUGAUUUCAGAUUAACUCAGUUCUGUUUGUAAUAACUUCACUGAGGAAUAAGCUAUAAUUUACAACAGAAAAAUGAACUUAUGCUAAAUAAUUUCGGCUCUUAGGUCUGUAUCUAUCUAUAUGUAUGUAUCAACUUAAUGUGGAACGUUGUUGUUUAUCUAAAAGCAUGAUGUCGGUGUCCUUAAGUUCCUGACCAACGACACUUACCUUAAUAAUCUGUGUGUAUGUCUAUUCAAACAUAUAAAGUUGCUUACUUCCGGCACUCUGUUCUUUUAUUGGAUUAAAUGCACACCUAAUCUAUGAUGCCACUACUUUGAAAUUGGUAGCCCUUUUUGUUAUAAUAAUCAUCGUUAUUCUCAGGCAAAUAUACGCCGCAAUAUAAAUGGCUUGAAAAGGAGCUACCGAAAGUUAACAGGACAGAGACUCCUUGGUUGAUUAUUCUCAUGCAUUCACCUUGGUACAAUAGCUACAAUUAUCACUACAUGGAAGGAGAAACAAUGAGAGUAAUGUACGAAACCUGGUUUGUGAAGUACAAGGUUGAUGUUGUNUUUGCUGGUCAUGUUCAUGCCUACGAACGAUCUGUAAGUGCUAAAACUAAACCUCAUUUGAAAUUUCUAAUUCUUCUGAAAGCCAUCAGUAUCAAUCUUGUACCAUUAGGCUUGCACUCAAACUUUGAAACAUAGCUACAAAAGUAAAAUAUUACACAAAUUCACUUCAAUAAUCUCUUUCGAAUUGGUAUAUGAUUGAUGGGCUGCUAUGCAUCAGGAACGUGUUUCUAACAUUGCAUACAACGUCGUAAAUGGCAUUUGCACUCCUGUAAAAGAUGAAUCAGCUCCUGUAUACAUCACCAUUGGUGAUGGAGGAAACCUUGAAGGCUUAGCAACCAAGUAAGCUCAACGAACGUAACAUGAUGAUUCUUGUCACAUUUCUCCUUACUUUUAUGUCAUUAAGCUUGAACAAAUAUUUACAAAGUCUGACAUGAACAACAUUUGAACUGCAGCAUGACAGAACCACAACCUGAGUAUUCUGCAUACCGAGAAGCCAGCUUUGGACAUGCCAUGUUUUCCAUAAAGAACCGAACUCAUGCUCACUACAGCUGGAACCGAAAUCAAGAUGGUCUCGCUGUGGAGGCUGAUUCCGUUUGGUUUUUCAACCGAUACUGGCACCCAGUUGAUGAUUCCAUCGCUCAUGUUUCACAUUAACGCGCACAUUCGCUGAUCUUAGUACAACAAUGCAUAGUUUGAUAUCAAUAUUUUAAGGAAAUUUAUAAUAUAAUUUGAAAUACAUCUUUCAUUUUAUAUUAUGAAAAAUAUAGCCUAGGAUAGAACUCUUCGUAUUUAGGAAAUCAGAAUGUGAAAUAAAAAAAAUUGUAUUUCAGAG